GUUAUCCUCUUAACCAAGGAGUGUGGUGACACUGGUAUGGCAUAUAGGUGAGAUAUAAAGGUACAUCAUCACUGAACAAAUGACUCACCUACUGAGCAUUCUACGGUCAAGAGCUGCUCGUGAAACACAUGGGUAUAAAUGUCCUUCAGACCUAAGAUCAUCAUAGUGACUUGCAAGCAACUCACUGUGCUUUGGUGCUGAACUAUCUGAAUUUUUAAUGCAGUGACAGAAGGCUACUGGGUACAUGUUGGAUUUCGGUGGCAC
This 264-nucleotide long non-coding RNA is filed under the name Elaeis guineensis (African oil palm). RNAcentral's name for it is "long non-coding RNA (EGUI_LNC055932)". The record is from RNAcentral. Lineage: Eukaryota; Viridiplantae; Streptophyta; Magnoliopsida; Arecales; Arecaceae.